RNAcentral lists this ribosomal RNA (253 nucleotides) under uncultured bacterium. Its description in RNAcentral is "partial 16S ribosomal RNA". It matches the Rfam family "Bacterial small subunit ribosomal RNA", at positions 524 to 776 of the family's 1533-position model. The record is from RNAcentral.
UACGGAGGGUGCGAGCGUUGUCCGGAAUCACUGGGCGUAAAGGGCGCGUAGGCGGCAUGCCAAGCGUGUGGUGAAAGUCCAGGGCUCAACCCUGGGAUGCCGGUCGAUACUGCCGGACUAGAGUUCGGAAGAGGCGAGUGGAAUUCCCGGUGUAGCGGUGAAAUGCGCAGAUAUCGGGAGGAACACCUAUGGCGAAGGCAGCUCGCUGGGACGUUACUGACGCUGAGACGCGAAAGCGUGGGGAGCAAACAGG